This 497-nucleotide ribosomal RNA is filed under the name uncultured bacterium. Its description in RNAcentral is "partial 16S ribosomal RNA". It matches the Rfam family "Bacterial small subunit ribosomal RNA", at positions 28 to 507 of the family's 1533-position model. The record is from RNAcentral.
GAUGAACGCUGGCGGCGUGCCUAAUACAUGCAAGUCGAGCGAACAGACGAGGAGCUUGCUCCUCUGACGUUAGCGGCGGACGGGUGAGUAACACGUUGAUAACCUACCUAUAAGACUGGGAUAACUUCGGGAAACCGGAGCUAAUACUGGAUAAUAUAUUGAACCGCAUGGUUCAAUAGUGAAAGACGGUUUUGCUGUCACUUAUAGAUGGAUCCGCGCCGCAUUAGCUAGUUGGUAAGGUAACGGCUUACCAAGGCAACGAUGCGUAGCCGACCUGAGAGGGUGAUCGGCCACACUGGAACUGAGACACGGUCCAGACUCCUAAGGGAGGCAGCAGUAGGGAAUCUUCCGCAAUGGGCGAAAGCUUGACGGAGCAACGCCGCGUGAGUGAUGAAGGUCUUCGGAUCGUAAAACUCUGUUAUUAGGGAAGAACAAAUGUGUAAGUAACUAUGCACGUAUUGACGGUACCUAAUCAGAAAGCCACGGCUAACUACGUG